Rhododendron vialii is the source of this 3854-nucleotide long non-coding RNA. RefSeq lists it as uncharacterized. The transcript is spliced from 2 exons. NCBI's taxonomy places the organism in Eukaryota, Viridiplantae, Streptophyta, Magnoliopsida, Ericales, Ericaceae. The record is from RefSeq and is a predicted model, not a curated record.
AUUAUAAUCAUUUCUAUGGACAUGUACAGUAAAAAUCAGGAGAAUCGAUGUUUUACGAUCGAUUACAAAUGAGAAGGGUGUCUUAUUCUGUUAUUAAAAAUCAAAAUCAUGGUUAUCUCUAAUAUUUGAUGAGGAGACUAUAUGAGAUAGACGUUGAGAUUCUUUGCUUUGAUCCUGCUGAGGGUGCUCGUUAGAUUGUAAACAGUAAUGAUCUCGCUAAUCUUGACCUUCUUGAUAUGGAACUGGUGCUGCUACUUGGAAAGUUAUGAUCCCUACAGUGAACUAGUGCACCUUGGUCUCAAAUUCGAUGAUCCAAGACUUAAACUUUCAUCCACAGCAAGUGGUUACACAUGAACCUUCUGAAUUGAAAUGACAUGGCUCUUCAAUAAACCAUCAAGGUGCCACUGACAAGCCUAAAAACCGACGGAUCCACAUCAAUUGAGAGAUCAUCUGUCAAUCUGCCAGAAUCAACAUUGUCGGUUGUGACAUCAAAACCAGUAAUUAAUGCGUCCCUCGGGGAUGGAAGCCAGUGGACAACCAUUGAGAAUGUGAGGUGUGGGCCCGAUCAUGGCAUUAGUACCGGAAGCUAGAAAAGUACCACAAUGAACAGCCCGUAAUGCAGGUAACUCCCAAGGAAUUGCGCCCGCAGAAACACAACAAAUGGGAUUAGGGUCAAAUCAUGGCCAGCUUCUCCCAGUGGGGUUGCCUCAGACUUGCAUUUUGAAAAACUUGUCAUGAACACAGUUAGCAAUCCAAUUCUCAUUGAUCAAGAGUACUCCCCUUGUAGUUAAUGCAAUUCCAAAGUGAGUUAUAAAGAUGAAUUGCGGUACAGAUGCAACCGAGCUUGCUGUCAAGCUUGUUUACAGUAGGGGCAUACCCUGUUUGAAAUGUGCAGAUGAAUGGAAUUAAAUUGGCAUAUGCUGCAAACUGCAAUUUCUAAAUGUGCUGAAAUUUCCCCAAUGCCUGCACAGAGCACUGCAUACAUACGUAUGUAUGCAUCUGUCUCUAUCAUUAUGCAUAAGAGAAUUCACCUUAAUGUUCCCAUGCAAACACGGGCCCAUCUCUCCUCCCCCUUUCACAAGGAUCAAAGGAUACUUUAAACAACAUGGGGUACUUUAUUGAACGCCUUUUUAUCAAAUACUACUUGAAGAAAUGUAAGUUUCUCACCUUCAAUUCCAACCAAGAAGGAUGGACACAAAAUGUAAAACGACUCUAUCCAACUAGGUUAGUCCCAGUUGUUUGGGCACUCGAGCUAGCUCUAAAAAGAGAGGCUCAAGGUUGCCUUAAAAGGGAAUGCCAAUAUGAAGUUUCUUGUUUGUUGCCUUUCAAAAAAUAAAAGAAGUUUCUUGUUUGUUCCAUAAACUGUCAUGGGUGGAUCACUUGGUCUAGAUCUCUCUUGCCAAACAAGAGAAUACAUCUAGCUGUCUCCAUGACAACAUUUUCACCAUGGGAGAAACUAACUCUACUUUCUAAACUUUAGGUCGUUCCUCAUAGAAAAUGGAAAGCCUCAUUUAAGCGGCUUCUACUUAAACAUACAUAAAAACCAAUAGAUUCAAGGUCCAAAUAGAUUUAGUUUCGGGUUACAUGGUAUAGCACUAGAACCAAAGAGCAAAAUUCACCGUACUUAACUAGCAUUAGUUGAAGAUAUUCAAAAAAAAACUCGCAUUAGUUGAAAUCUAUGUGCGCAAUUGAACAGCCCCAAAACUAUUGAAGUCAAGCUACAAGCAUUAACAAGAUAAAGAACUUCAAAUAGCCAAUGAGGUGAGUCCAGCUUUGCUUCAACAUUUCCAUAGAGGUCCUGCACAGCUACACCAAAAGAUGACUUUCACUUCCUGAAGCAACAUUGAACAAGAUCUUGAUAUUUGUUCUUGCGUCAAAAAACUUUCCCACAUAUCAGGAUCUGCACAUCUGAAUUUUUGCAUAAAAUUCAAAAGCUAGCGAAUAAGAGACUGAAUUAGGAUAGCAAAAACAGUGAGAGAAAUAAGAAUUUGUCUUUCAGAAAGCUCAGUUUUGAAAACACACCUAAUAGGCCAAUCCAAGUGCUAUAUUAAUGAAAUCACUGUAAAAAGACGAACUAAAAGAAAUUUAAAUAUAUAAAGUACCCAUGUUACAUAGAUUCUUCAAAAUAUAUAAAGUACCCGUGUUCAAAUUCUGAUAAAAGAAAUUUAAUUGCACUUUCACUGAGCAAACAUAUUUUGUAUUUCGGUUUAAUCAUGAAAUAUACAGAAGUCUUGGAUCACACUUGAACUCUUGUAUCGGUGUGGUCAACUGCACUCGACCCCCGUAAAUGAAUCCAUGUAAAAUAGCACCUCGUCCCUAUAUCUUCAGUAUACAGUUUACAGUUUACAGUUAACAGGUUGUCAUUUGUCAAUUAAUCAAUAAAUUAUUGCAAGUGAUGGAAUUACUCACUUUGGGUAAUUCAUCCCCCAAGUCCAAAUCAGGCCAAAUUUUGCAAACAAUCACAAGGUCAACACCAGGAAACUAAUCACGAACUCAAAUAAAAUUCUUCAAACUAAACAAACUUAUGACGAAGUGAUAUAAUGCAAUAGUACCUUACCAAAGAUUUUAUCAUAGUCAUUUGAAAGCAUCCAAUGGAGAGAAGAAGCAGGGUAUGUCAGCAACUGAAGGGCCCGAGGGUAUAAUAACAUGGUACUUAUUCUUUUUCAGCACUCUUGUUCGUGGAUUGUAAGAUGCUAUAGUAGUCUUGGUGAAAGGUUCUCGUGAGCUAAUAUCGUGGAACGCCAUCAACAGACUUCCAUCUUUCAACAUUUUCAAUGGCCUGACAAAUCCUUGAAACUUGCAAAUAAUUGGUUCUUCAAUGACGCAUUCCAAAGUCCAUGACCCAAAGUCCCCGUAAUCUUUCAUUGCCCAGAAUCUCCAUACACCAGACGAAUGCCCCUUGUGAAUGUACAACCGAUCAUCUACAACCACAAGAUAAAUCAAAUCUGUUCCAAUGUGGGAAGGCAAGGGAAAGCUUCGGAAGUGCUCUCUCUCGAUAUCGAAGUGGCAAACGAACAGUGAAUUAUCAGAACCUAUCCAGAGAAGAGCCCCAUUCAGAAAAAUAAUUUUCGAGAUAAUAAGAGCGGGUGGUUGUCCAGUGUCCCCCAUGCUCCUCCACUCAUCAUCAAUCCCAAUUGUAAAAAUGUCACAGUACAAUCUAGCCGGUCUAUAUGAAUUAGUAAAUCUUACCACCUUGUACCGAUCAGUUGAUGGACUAUGCCCAAACCCCAAUAGGGCAGUUUUAUGGGCUGAUGAUAUAUAGUCUGGUUUAUUGGUCGCCGGUAGUGCCAAUUCCGGAGGUUUUGGAAGAAUAAAUUGUUGUGCCCUAAGUGGGUUACACACAAUAAUAACAAGGUCAUCAGCAGACGAGGAAUUUGACAACAAAAUUGACCCAUUACAUGAGGCUACGAUGUUCAUACGAGGGAAGUGGAUUUCAGUUCUGAACUUCUUGGUGGCGUUCUGUCGAUCUAAAACAAGGGGAUCGUAGAGUUGGAGAAUUUCGAAGUAAGAGGGGGAGUUAAUAAUAUUACUAUUACCGUGGCGGUAGGAAAUGAGGCUGAGAGGAGACCGUGAGAGAUGCAAUUUGGCGAAGCAGGGUUCCAGAGUAAGGUCACACCAGGUCUUGCAAACUAGCUUGCAGGCGAAGAUGGAGUUGAGAGGGAGUCGAGAUAGAAUCUCGCACGUAAUGGGGUUUGGAAGGUCUGAAAUGGUGGCGGCGGCGGCUGCGUUCUGAAUUGCCUUUCUCUUUGAUCUUCUCAUUGUUGUCUUCCCUGUUUAAUCUGACCCCAAAACCCUAGAUUUGAAGUCUUCUGUUAUGGUUUUUUCGGAAUGGAAACGGUGAGGACUACUAUUUC